GCAUUGGUGGUUCAGUGGUAUAAUUCUCACCUUCCAUGUGGGAGACCCGGGUUUGAUUCCCGGCCAAAACA
Molecule: transfer RNA, 71 nt
Filed under: Loxodonta africana (African savanna elephant)
Lineage: Eukaryota; Metazoa; Chordata; Mammalia; Proboscidea; Elephantidae
Rfam family: tRNA
About the family: Transfer RNA (tRNA) molecules are approximately 80 nucleotides in length.
Source: Rfam by way of RNAcentral